GUGGGGAAUAUUGGACAAUGGGCGAAAGCCUGAUCCAGCCAUGCCGCGUGUGUGAAGAAGGUCUUCGGAUUGUAAAGCACUUUAAGUUGGGAGGAAGGGCAGUAAGUUAAUACCUUGCUGUUUUGACGUUACCGACAGAAUAAGCACCGGCUAACUUCGUGCCAGCAGCCGCGGUAAUACGAAGGGUGCAAGCGUUAAUCGGAAUUACUGGGCGUAAAGCGCGCGUAGGUGGUUUUGUAAGUUGGAGGUGAAAUCCCCGGGCUCAACCUGGGAACUGACUCCAAAACUGCAUGACUAGAGUACGGUAGAGGGUAGUGGAAUUUCCUGUGUAGCGGUGAAAUGCGUAGAUAUAGGAAGGAACACCAGUGGCGAAGGCGACUACCUGGACUGAUACUGACACUGAGGUGCGAAAGCGUGGGGAGCAAACAGGAUUAGAUACCCUAGUAGUCC
RNAcentral lists this ribosomal RNA (450 nucleotides) under uncultured bacterium. RNAcentral's name for it is "partial 16S ribosomal RNA". It matches the Rfam family "Bacterial small subunit ribosomal RNA", at positions 354 to 796 of the family's 1533-position model. The record is from RNAcentral.